This 74-nucleotide transfer RNA is filed under the name Pectobacterium phage vB_PcaM_CBB. RNAcentral describes it as "Pectinobacterium phage vB_PcaM_CBB tRNA-His". It matches the Rfam family "tRNA". From Rfam's summary of the family: Transfer RNA (tRNA) molecules are approximately 80 nucleotides in length. Their secondary structure includes four short double-helical elements and three loops (D, anti-codon, and T loops). Lineage: Duplodnaviria; Heunggongvirae; Uroviricota; Caudoviricetes. The record is from RNAcentral.
UGACUAUGAGCGUAACUGGCUAACGUUGGAGAUUGUGAAACUCCUGAUUCGGGUUCAAGCCCCGAUAGUCACAC